AUACGGAGGGUGCGAGCGUUAAUCGGAAUUACUGGGCGUAAAGCGUACGUAGGCGGUUGGUUAAGUUGGAUGUGAAAGCCCCGGGCUUAACCUGGGAACUGCAUUUAAAACUGGCGAACUAGAGUUGAGUAGAGGGGAGUGGAAUUUCAGGUGUAGCGGUGAAAUGCGUAGAGAUCUGAAGGAACACCAGUGGCGAAGGCGACUCCCUGGACUCGAACUGACGCUGAGGUACGAAAGCGCGGGUAGCAAACGGGAUUAGAUACCCUAGUAGUCC
RNAcentral lists this ribosomal RNA (274 nucleotides) under uncultured bacterium. Its description in RNAcentral is "partial 16S ribosomal RNA". It matches the Rfam family "Bacterial small subunit ribosomal RNA", at positions 523 to 796 of the family's 1533-position model. The record is from RNAcentral.